AUGGCCUCCGCGGGUGAGGGAAAAAUGAAGGGUUGCCGCCCCAAACUUUUCGGUGCAAAGGAGAAGAAAUCUGCAAAGAGGACCGACAGUCCAAGCUGCAAUGCAGCAGCUGAGCUUGGACCAAGUCCUUCUAAGACAGUAUCCGCUUCCCCCUUGAGAACACUUUCAGGAGUUAAGAGCAUACGUCUCAGCCAUUUCCUGGCCCAACCUUCUUCUAUUAAUAGAACAACUGAGCCCAUCAGAAUUUUUGUCUCUACCUGGAACGUCGGUGGGAAAGCACCUACUGCUGAACUGAACAUGGAUGAUUUUGUUCCACCUCAUGAUCAUUCAGAUAUUUAUGUGUUGGGUUUUCAGGAAAUUGUUCCUCUCAAUGCUGGUAAUGUGCUUGUGAUAGAAGACAAUGAACCAGCUGCAAGGUGGCUUGUUCUUAUAAACCAAGCACUAAACCGGCCAGCUCAUAAUGAUACCAAUGUCUUUCAGCGUCCGACAUCUCCAUCUGUCGAUUCUACUUCAUCUCGAGCUUCUUCAAGCCUCGACACUUCAUUCUCUGAAUUAACAAAAACAGCAAGUGGUUCCGCAAUCUUCCAGAAAUCUUCCCUCAAAGCCAUUAGAAAACCUUUCAUGCCAAUGCAGAGAAAACGGCUUAAGGCCUGCAACUGCCCAGCAGAAAUGAUCAAAUCAUCGUACAGGGAUGCUUGCUUUCGGCGCCCGAAAAAACAUGCUGACGAGACUGAUUCCUCGGGAGAGGAAGAGAAAGAGAACACGAGGGAUUCUUGCGGCUCUGUGCUAAGUGAAGUAACUUCCGCUCCCACCGCAAGGGAUAAGCUAAAAUAUAACCUCAUAGUAUGCAAACAAAUGGUUGGUAUUUUUGUCACUGUGUGGGUAAAGAAAGAACUAGUGCAACACAUCGGCCAUCUAAGAACGUCUUGCAUAGGGCGAGGAAUUCUUGGCUGUCUUGGAAACAAGGGAUGUAUAUCAGUAAGCAUGACAGUGCACCAGACAAGCUUUUGUUUCAUCUGCAGCCAUUUGGCUUCAGGUCAGAAAGAAGGGGACGAAUUCAGAAGAAACUCUGAUGUUCUAGAGAUAAUGCGGCUCACACUGUUUUCGAGGCUUUGCAGGAGAAUUGGGCGAAGAAUUCCUGAGAAAAUUCUUGAGCAUGAUAAGGUAAUAUGGUUUGGGGAUUUGAACUACCGUAUUGCACUGAGCUAUGAAGAUACGAAAAGGCUUUUGACGGAAAAUAAUUGGGAUGCCCUUUUCGAAAAGGAUCAGCUAAAAAUUGAACGAGAUGCUGGACGAGUGUUCAGGGGAUGGAAUGAGGGGAAGAUAUAUUUUGCUCCCACAUACAAGUACUCCUCUAACUCGGAUGCGUAUGCUGGUGAGACUGCAACAUCAAACAAAAAGAGGAGAACGCCAGCAUGGUGUGAUAGAAUAUUGUGGCAAGGAGACGGCACUUCACAGUUGUCCUACUACCGUGGAGAGUCCCGAUUUUCAGAUCAUCGUCCUGUCUGUGGAACCUUCAUUGUCGAGGUUGAGGCACUAAACAGAAAGACAAAGAGGUGUUCAUCUAAUGCUGACAUGAAAAUCGGUGCUGAAGAACUUUUACCAACGGACAAGAAUAAGGGUAAAGAAGAACCGGCACACUGGGAUUCGUCGUGUGCCUCUCCAACACCUCCAGAUCAGAGUUCCACACCAUGGUGGCGGCGAUGCUGUUAUCUGAGCAACCAUGAUGUUCCUGCUGAGGCAUGA
RNAcentral lists this ribosomal RNA (1746 nucleotides) under Triticum aestivum (bread wheat). RNAcentral describes it as "partial small subunit ribosomal RNA". The record is from RNAcentral. Lineage: Eukaryota; Viridiplantae; Streptophyta; Magnoliopsida; Poales; Poaceae.